Molecule: long non-coding RNA, 185 nt
Organism: Engraulis encrasicolus (European anchovy)
Lineage: Eukaryota; Metazoa; Chordata; Actinopteri; Clupeiformes; Engraulidae
Exons: 3
Source: RefSeq, a predicted model, not a curated record
CAAGCGGGCCCGGCGGAGAUCGGGGUCCAAAGGGACUUGUGGGCCCCAAGGGAGGGCUGGGAGAAAUUGGCCUUCCUGGACCUGAAGGCCCAGCGGGCCUGCCAGGAAAACCAGGAGAACCAGGCACAGAGGGAGACCAGGGGAACCAAGGCCCACAAGGUCAAACAGGACCACCGGGAGAUAAG